RNAcentral lists this ribosomal RNA (500 nucleotides) under Pseudomonas sp. Z38. RNAcentral's name for it is "bacterial SSU rRNA". It matches the Rfam family "Bacterial small subunit ribosomal RNA", at positions 233 to 723 of the family's 1533-position model. The record is from RNAcentral. Lineage: Bacteria; Pseudomonadati; Pseudomonadota; Gammaproteobacteria; Pseudomonadales; Pseudomonadaceae.
AGGUCGGAUUAGCUAGUUGGUGAGGUAAUGGCUCACCAAGGCGACGAUCCGUAACUGGUCUGAGAGGAUGAUCAAGUCACACUGGAACUUGAGACACGGUCCAGACUCCUACGGGAGGCAGCAGUGGGGAAUAUUGGACAAUGGGCGAAAGCCUGAUCCAGCCAUGCCGCGUGUGUGAAGAAGGUCUUCGGAUUGUAAAGCACUUUAAGUUGGGAGGAAGGGCAGUUACCUAAUACGUGAUUGUUUUGACGUUACCGACAGAAUAAGCACCGGCUAACUCUGUGCCAGCAGCCGCGGUAAUACAGAGGGUGCAAGCGUUAAUCGGAAUUACUGGGCGUAAAGCGCGCGUAGGUGGUUUGUUAAGUUGGAUGUGAAAUCCCCGGGCUCAACCUGGGAACUGCAUUCAAAACUGACUGACUAGAGUAUGGUAGAGGGUGGUGGAAUUUCCUGUGUAGCGGUGAAAUGCGUAGAUAUAGGAAGGAACACCAGUGGCGAAGGCG